ACGCAGCUUGCACAAAAGAAUCCUACAGCAAUCCAUCAACCAAAACUUUUCUAUAGCAAAAAUAACUCUUAUUAACGGUGACUGGAAUACUAAGACAAGACUCAAGAGUGUAUUCUGAAUCAUUAGGUGCUAUUUAGAAGAAAAAAUCGAAUCUUGAAAUACCCAACCGAUAAAGAGAUAAGCUUUGAAGAUAAUCACUCGCAAGCCUAAAUGGCAAAUUGAACUUCCGUGAGAAGAAACACAAAUCAUGAAAAAAGAAAACCACAUUUUUAUUCACAUUAAGAGUUUCUAGUUUCAUGUUCAUAAAGAUUCACUAGAAGAAGCCUAGAUUUUUACUUUAAACCACAAAUUACAAUUGCCUAAAUCUGAACAACGAGCUCAAACAUAUAAGAACACACUAAGCUAAAAAAAAUCAGACAAGCACAAUACUAUACGCGCAAGAGAAAGUACGAAACAACCUCAGAGAUUGUGCAUGGACUACGAAAGUAGACGGCUUUACCUUCUUGACAAUGGGGGAUGAGA
This is a long non-coding RNA of Arabidopsis thaliana (thale cress), 522 nucleotides long. RefSeq annotates it as other RNA. Lineage: Eukaryota; Viridiplantae; Streptophyta; Magnoliopsida; Brassicales; Brassicaceae. The record is from RefSeq. The transcript has a single exon.